RNAcentral lists this ribosomal RNA (500 nucleotides) under Enterococcus faecalis. RNAcentral describes it as "bacterial SSU rRNA". It matches the Rfam family "Bacterial small subunit ribosomal RNA", at positions 26 to 497 of the family's 1533-position model. Lineage: Bacteria; Bacillati; Bacillota; Bacilli; Lactobacillales; Enterococcaceae. The record is from RNAcentral.
AGGACGAACGCUGGCGGCGUGCCUAAUACAUGCAAGUCGAACGCUUCUUUCCUCCCGAGUGCUUGCACUCAAUUGGAAAGAGGAGUGGCGGACGGGUGAGUAACACGUGGGUAACCUACCCAUCAGAGGGGGAUAACACUUGGAAACAGGUGCUAAUACCGCAUAACAGUUUAUGCCGCAUGGCAUAAGAGUGAAAGGCGCUUUCGGGUGUCGCUGAUGGAUGGACCCGCGGUGCAUUAGCUAGUUGGUGAGGUAACGGCUCACCAAGGCCACGAUGCAUAGCCGACCUGAGAGGGUGAUCGGCCACACUGGGACUGAGACACGGCCCAGACUCCUACGGGAGGCAGCAGUAGGGAAUCUUCGGCAAUGGACGAAAGUCUGACCGAGCAACGCCGCGUGAGUGAAGAAGGUUUUCGGAUCGUAAAACUCUGUUGUUAGAGAAGAACAAGGACGUUAGUAACUGAACGUCCCCUGACGGUAUCUAACCAGAAAGCCACGGC